AGCAUGCUUUCCAUCCUCUUACUC
This 24-nucleotide non-coding RNA is filed under the name Arabidopsis thaliana (thale cress). The record is from RNAcentral. Lineage: Eukaryota; Viridiplantae; Streptophyta; Magnoliopsida; Brassicales; Brassicaceae.